AUGAAUGCGCCAAGUCCUCAACGAGACCCGUUUUUCGUCAAAUUCGGCUACGCGGCUAUGACCUCAGAUUUGGACGCAAGCGGCAAGUACCUCACCGGCAAGACCACACGGACGCUCGGACAACUACAUACCGAAACACCAAGUCCCUCUUCGAACAUGUACGACUACCGUCGACUUCGGAUCAGUCAAGUGCCACAACGACUGUGUACAACUAUCAGCGACCCUGAAUGA
RNAcentral lists this ribosomal RNA (231 nucleotides) under Triticum aestivum (bread wheat). RNAcentral describes it as "partial small subunit ribosomal RNA". Lineage: Eukaryota; Viridiplantae; Streptophyta; Magnoliopsida; Poales; Poaceae. The record is from RNAcentral.